This 392-nucleotide ribosomal RNA is filed under the name uncultured bacterium. RNAcentral's name for it is "bacterial SSU rRNA". It matches the Rfam family "Bacterial small subunit ribosomal RNA", at positions 193 to 602 of the family's 1533-position model. The record is from RNAcentral.
CCUUACGGAGAAAGAUUUAUCGCCGAAAGAUCGGCCCGCGUCUGAUUAGCAGUUGGUGAGGUAAUGGCUCACCAAGGCGACGAUCAGUAGCUGGUCUGAGGGAUGAUCAGCCACAUUGGGACUGAGACACGGCCCAAACUCCUACGGGAGCAGCAGUGGGGAAUAUUGGACAAUGGGCGCAAGCCUGAUCCAGCCAUGCGCGUGAGUGAUGAAGGCCCUAGGGUUGUAAAGCUCUUUUGUGCGGGAAAUAAUGACGGGUACCCGCAAGAAUAAGCCCCGGCUAACUUUCGUGCCAGAAGCCGCGGUAUUACGAAGGGGGCUAGCCGUUGUUCGGAAUCACUGGGCCUAAAGGGUGGCGUAGGCCGGGGUCUUUUAAGUCAGGGGUGAAAAUC